UUUAACACACUUAUUGUGGUAUGGUUCCUGUAUAGUAAACUACACAUAUUUCAAAUGUACGAUUUGAUGAAUUUUUAUAGAUGUUUACACCAGUGAAACCAACACCACAUUCAAGAUAGCUGACAUUUCUAUCACUCCCCAAGAGGUACAAGUUUUGAUUUCCCAAUU
Non-coding RNA from Vicugna pacos (alpaca), 168 nucleotides. NCBI's taxonomy places the organism in Eukaryota, Metazoa, Chordata, Mammalia, Artiodactyla, Camelidae. The record is from RefSeq and is a predicted model, not a curated record.